This 433-nucleotide ribosomal RNA is filed under the name uncultured bacterium. RNAcentral describes it as "partial 16S ribosomal RNA". It matches the Rfam family "Bacterial small subunit ribosomal RNA", at positions 29 to 507 of the family's 1533-position model. The record is from RNAcentral.
AACGAACGCUGGCGGCAUGCCUAACACAUGCAAGUCGAACGAGACCUUCGGGUCUAGUGGCGCACGGGUGCGUAACGCGUGGGAAUCUGCCCUUGGGUUCGGAAUAACAGUUGGAAACGACUGCUAAUACCGGAUGAUGACGUAAGACCAAAUAUUUAUCGCCCAGGGAUGAGCCCGCGUAGCCUUAGCUAGUUGGUGGGGUAAAGGCCUACCAAGGCGACGAUCCUUAGCUGGUCUGAGAGGAUGAUCAGCCACACUGGGACUGAGACACGGCCCAGAAUCCUACGGGAGGCAGCAGUGGGGAAUCUUGGCAAAUGGGCGAGAGCCUGAUCCCGCUAUGCCGCGUGAGUGAUGAAGGCGUUAGGGUUGUAAAGCUCUUUUACCCGGGAUGAUAAUGACGGUACCGAGAGAAUAAGCCCCGGCUAACUCCGUG